Molecule: ribosomal RNA, 951 nt
Filed under: Salmonella enterica subsp. enterica serovar Montevideo
Lineage: Bacteria; Pseudomonadati; Pseudomonadota; Gammaproteobacteria; Enterobacterales; Enterobacteriaceae
Description: partial 23S ribosomal RNA
Rfam family: Bacterial large subunit ribosomal RNA
Source: RNAcentral
ACCUGAAACCGUGUACGUACAAGCAGUGGGAGCACCCUUUGGGGUGUGACUGCGUACCUUUUGUAUAAUGGGUCAGCGACUUAUAUUCUGUAGCAAGGUUAACCGUAUAGGGGAGCCGGAGGGAAACCGAGUCUUAACCGGGCGUUAAGUUGCAGGGUAUAGACCCGAAACCCGGUGAUCUAGCCAUGGGCAGGUUGAAGGUUGGGUAACACUAACUGGAGGACCGAACCGACUAAUGUUGAAAAAUUAGCGGAUGACCUGUGGCUGGGGGUGAAAGGCCAAUCAAACCGGGAGAUAGCUGGUUCUCCCCGAAAGCUAUUUAGGUAGCGCCUCGUGAAUUCAUCUCCGGGGGUAGAGCACUGUUUCGGCUAGGGGGCCAUCCCGGCUUACCAACCCGAUGCAAACUGCGAAUACCGGAGAAUGUUAUCACGGGAGACACACGGCGGGUGCUAACGUCCGUCGUGAAGAGGGAAACAACCCAGACCGCCAGCUAAGGUCCCAAAGUCAUGGUUAAGUGGGAAACGAUGUGGGAAGGCCCAGACAGCCAGGAUGUUGGCUUAGAAGCAGCCAUCAUUUAAAGAAAGCGUAAUAGCUCACUGGUCGAGUCGGCCUGCGCGGAAGAUGUAACGGGGCUAAACCAUGCACCGAAGCUGCGGCAGCGACGCUGAUGCGUUGUUGGGUAGGGGAGCGUUCUGUAAGCCUGCGAAGGUGGCCUGUGAGGGUUGCUGGAGGUAUCAGAAGUGCGAAUGCUGACAUAAGUAACGAUAAAGCGGGUGAAAAGCCCGCUCGCCGGAAGACCAAGGGUUCCUGUCCAACGUUAAUCGGGGCAGGGUGAGUCGACCCCUAAGGCGAGGCCGAAAGGCGUAGUCGAUGGGAAACGGGUUAAUAUUCCCGUACUUGGUGUUACUGCGAAGGGGGGACGGAGAAGGCUAUGUUGGCCGGGCGACGGUU